UACGUAGGUGGCGAGCGUUAUCCGGAAUUAUUGGGCGUAAAGGGUGCGUAGGCGGCACAUUAAGUCUAAGGUUAAAGUUCGAGGCUCAACUUCGGAUUGCCUUAGAAACUGGUGAGCUAGAGUGCAGGAGAGGGCAAUGGAAUUCCAUGUGUAGCGGUAAAAUGCGUAGAUAUAUGGAGGAACACCAGUGGCGAAGGCGGUUGCCUGGCCUGUAACUGACGCUGAGGCAC
Molecule: ribosomal RNA, 230 nt
Filed under: uncultured microorganism
Description: partial 16S ribosomal RNA
Rfam family: Bacterial small subunit ribosomal RNA
Source: RNAcentral